AUGCGUUCAUACGACUCACAGUCACAUUCUGGGGCAUUGUGGUGGGCGAGAAGAAAGGCAAUACAUGAUCAAAUUUUCCAAAGUCCGUCCGCAACCCACCAGUUCAUCACACAUUUCAUUAGUGAGCUCGAGCUCCUAACAACACCAGGGAAGAAACAUGCAGCAGGUCAGAGACCUGCUGUACUUAGACCCAAAGCACCUCCCGCGGGGCAUCCAAAGAUCCAUGUGGAUGCUGCAGUCUCAAAAGCGCAUGUAAGAGGGGCAGCAGCUGCAGUUUGUCGAGAUGAAAUGGGAAACUUUUUGGGAAGCUCAGCCCUGGUUAUAACAGGUAUAACGGAUGUGGCGACCCUGGAAGUUUUAGCUUGCUGAGAGGGUUUAGCUUUGGCAGAAGAUCUCUUGCUCCAGGAUUUUAUCAUCGCCUCUGACUCAAAACAGGUAAUUACUGAUAUUGAGAAGGCAAGCAAAUGGAAUUAUGGGGCCAUCAUCUGUGAAAUUAAGUCUAGAGCUCGAAAUUUUAAUUGUAAGUUUAUUUUUGAAGGUAGAGCAGCAAAUCAUGAUGCUGAUAGAUUAGCCAAAUACUCGCAUUCUUUGGAUCAGGGAAGACAUGUCUGGAUGUCAAUACCACAUGAUCCAUUUUGUAUUCCACGAGUUGUGGACUUUGAGCAAUAA
RNAcentral lists this ribosomal RNA (669 nucleotides) under Triticum aestivum (bread wheat). RNAcentral's name for it is "partial small subunit ribosomal RNA". The record is from RNAcentral. Lineage: Eukaryota; Viridiplantae; Streptophyta; Magnoliopsida; Poales; Poaceae.